GGGGAUUUAGCUCAGUGGUAGAGCGCUUGCCUAGCAAGCGAAAGGCCCUGGAUUCGGUCCCCAGCUCCG
This 69-nucleotide transfer RNA is filed under the name Rattus norvegicus (Norway rat). It matches the Rfam family "tRNA". From Rfam's summary of the family: Transfer RNA (tRNA) molecules are approximately 80 nucleotides in length. The record is from Rfam by way of RNAcentral. Lineage: Eukaryota; Metazoa; Chordata; Mammalia; Rodentia; Muridae.